GCUUAUCGAGGAAAAGAUCGAGGUGGGUUGGGGCGGGCUCUGGGGAUUUGGUCUCACAGCCCGGAUCCCAGCCCACUUACCUUGGUUACUCUCCUUCCUUCU
Molecule: microRNA precursor, 102 nt
Organism: Homo sapiens (human)
Lineage: Eukaryota; Metazoa; Chordata; Mammalia; Primates; Hominidae
Product: microRNA 3940
Source: Ensembl